Long non-coding RNA from Jaculus jaculus (lesser Egyptian jerboa), 629 nucleotides. RefSeq lists it as uncharacterized. The transcript has 3 exons. The record is from RefSeq and is a predicted model, not a curated record. Lineage: Eukaryota; Metazoa; Chordata; Mammalia; Rodentia; Dipodidae.
UUUUUAGUGAAAACAAGAAAGUUACGGAAAGGAGCAGCUUUGGGAAAAACUAUAGGAAGUUAUAAGCUGAGAAGUAAGAGCCGCUACGCUGGACUUCAGAGCGCAAUCGGCAGUCGGCGGAGCUGCCACGGGAAGGCUAGACCCGGCUCAAAGUUGCCCGUGUCUUGGUGUCCCUGUUCUUUGUGCAGCUAACUUGCUUUUGAAGACUCGAUGCAAGAAUCACCUUGGCUUGCUGUAUGGGACUGGCCCAGAGGUUUUUUUUGUACUGGAGACCUUAUCUUCAAGACUUUCAUAAAGUAUUGCUCAUUAUACAAUGAAUUAAGAGUCCAAAAGAUGAAAAAUAAAUAAAUAAACUGUAAUCAUAAGUAGGCCUAAACAGCAUCAAGUAGAAAUGAAUAUGGGACUUAAUAAGGACACAGGACUUGAAGUCCCAAAAGGUUAUACAGUCUGGAAGACAGAAGACUCUGAAGGUUGUUUAAUUAAGAGGUGGAGGAACCAGAAAUAACUCUGCUAUUUCAGGGGCCAAAUGUUUCUGCCUUGCACUAACAUAUGAAAUGCCACGAUUCACUGACUCUGCUGUGUGGUUUGGGCUACAGGGAAGAGGGGAUCUUCAGAACACCAAUGAGAGA